GGGACCACAAAUCUGAGUCAAAAAAAUAUUUUAAUAUUACUUUGGGAGUUUACUAUGUGUGAAUUUGAUUGUGUGAAAUUUUCGUGUUUAAAUUUUGUUGUUUGAGUAACUGAUUAAAUAAAAAGGACUUAAUCGCGUAAAAAUAAAAAUUUAGGGGUUAAAGCUAAAAGUAUCUAUUUGUUGUUGUCUUUUUAUUUGGAA
RNAcentral lists this long non-coding RNA (201 nucleotides) under Gossypium barbadense (sea-island cotton). RNAcentral describes it as "long non-coding RNA (GBAR_LNC019325)". The record is from RNAcentral. Lineage: Eukaryota; Viridiplantae; Streptophyta; Magnoliopsida; Malvales; Malvaceae.